AUGCUACUAGCUGGCAAUGCCGAGCGACCCCCACGAAUCUCGAGGAGUUCGAUCGUUCGUGCAACUUUAGUUGGGCUUCCGGCAGUUGUUGCGGAUCUCGCCGUUGGAUCCGGUGAGCGGGCUGAUGUUGCCCAUCUUGAUCAUGGCGGUGACGAAGUCGGCCGAGAAGGCCCCGCCGUUGCCGGCGUACUGCUGCGCGAUGGAGUCCACGGGCCCGCCGUUGAAGAGCUCCUGGUCCGAGUGGAGGAGGCCGAAGCGGCUCAGCAGGUUGCGGAAGUAGCCGUUGUCGAAGCGCACGGAGCUGAAGGCGUCCAGCGGCGCCAGGUUGCCGUCGCCCACGCCGCCCUGCGCCGGGCACACCUGCCGCCGCCGCGUCGCGAACCCGGCGUUGAUGUUGCUGUCGUUGUACACGCGCGACCGGAAGCUGGCGCACCGCGCCGCGCCGAUCGUGUGCGCGCCGGAGAGCGCCACCAUGUCGCGGGAGUCCAGCCCCUUGGACGCGAACGCCGAGAUCAGCGUCGCCGCGCUCGACGACGGCGACGGCAGGUUGCUGUUCGCCGCUGCCUGAGUCGUCGUGCGCGCGUCCCGCCGACCCAGCGGCACCCCCCACGACGGCCCGCCCAGCUGCACAUGCACGCACGUACGUCAUCAUCAUGUGAACAAAUAGCCACAUGUGGUAAUCAAGCAAGUACGGAUAGUAACUACGUGCAUGCUCAUAUACUGAGCAAUUAUUCAUACACGACAAAAUUGAUAGAUCAACUAGCUCAAAAGAAGGUGAACUUAGUUUGUUUCCUUUCACUCCUGUUUAAGUUAUAG
Molecule: ribosomal RNA, 816 nt
Filed under: Triticum aestivum (bread wheat)
Lineage: Eukaryota; Viridiplantae; Streptophyta; Magnoliopsida; Poales; Poaceae
Description: partial small subunit ribosomal RNA
Source: RNAcentral